AUUGAACGCUGGCGGCAGGCCUAACACAUGCAAGUCGAGCGAGCGGCGGACGGGUGAGUAAUGUCUGGGGAUCUGCCCGAUGGAGGGGGAUAACUACUGGAAACGGUGGCUAAUACCGCAUACUAUCGGAUGAACCCAUAUGGGAUUAGCUAGUAGGUGGGGUAAAGGCUCACCUAGGCGACGAUCCCUAGCUGGUCUGAGAGGAUGAUCAGCCAAACUGGGACUGAGACACGGACCAGACUCCUACGGGAGGCAGGAGGGGGGAAUAUUGCACAAUGGGCGCAAGCCGGAUGCAGCCAGGCCGGGGGUAUGAAGAAGGCCUUAGGGUUGUAAAGUACUUUCAGCGGGGAGGCGUUACCCGCAGAAGAAGAAACGGCUAACUCCGUGCCAGCAGCCGCGGUAAUAC
Molecule: ribosomal RNA, 406 nt
Filed under: uncultured bacterium
Lineage: Bacteria
Description: partial 16S ribosomal RNA
Rfam family: Bacterial small subunit ribosomal RNA
Source: RNAcentral